RNAcentral lists this transfer RNA (67 nucleotides) under Cortodera humeralis. RNAcentral's name for it is "tRNA-Ser". The record is from RNAcentral. Lineage: Eukaryota; Metazoa; Arthropoda; Insecta; Coleoptera; Cerambycidae.
AGUUAAUGAACUUGUUAAAGUAUGUAUUUUGAAAAUACAAAAAAGAGAAUUAAUCCUCUAUUAACUU